UAACCAUGCUAGUCGAACGAUGAAGCCCUUCGGGGUGGAUUAGUGGCGAACGGGUGAGUAACACGUGGGCAAUCUGCCCUGCACUCUGGGACAAGCCCUGGAAACGGGGUCUAAUACCGGAUAUGACUGUCCACCGCAUGGUGGAUGGUGUAAAGCUCCGGCGGUGCAGGAUGAGCCCGCGGCCUAUCAGCUAGUUGGUGAGGUAGUGGCUCACCAAGGCGACGACGGGUAGCCGGCCUGAGAGGGCGACCGGCCACACUGGGACUGAGACACGGCCCAGACUCCUACGGGAGGCAGCAGUGGGGAAUAUUGCACAAUGGGCGAAAGCCUGAUGCAGCGACGCCGCGUGAGGGAUGACGGCCUUCGGGUUGUAAACCUCUUUCAGCAGGGAAGAAGCGAAAGUGACGGUACCUGCAGAAGAAGCGCCGGCUAACUACGUGCCAGCAGCCGCGGUAAUACGUAGGGCGCAAGCGUUGUCCGGAAUUAUUGGGCGUAAAGAGCUCGUAGGCGGCUUGUCACGUCGGUUGUGAAAGCCCGGGGCUUAACCCCGGGUCUGCAGUCGAUACGGGCAGGCUAGAGUUCGGUAGGGGAGAUCGGAAUUCCUGGUGUAGCGGUGAAAUGCGCAGAUAUCACGAGGAACACCGGUGGCGAAGGCGGAUCUCUGGGCCGAUACUGACGCUGAGGAGCGAAAGCGUGGGGAGCGAACAGGAUUAGAUACCCUGGUAGUCACGCCGUAAACGGUGGGCACUAGGUGUGGGCAACAUUCCACGUUGUCCGUGCCGCAGCUAACGCAUUAAGUGCCCCCGCCUGGGGGAGUACGGCCGCAAGGCUAAACCUCAUAGGGAUUUGACGGGGGGCUCGCACAAGCGGCGGGA
This 875-nucleotide ribosomal RNA is filed under the name Streptomyces intermedius. Its description in RNAcentral is "bacterial SSU rRNA". It matches the Rfam family "Bacterial small subunit ribosomal RNA", at positions 49 to 937 of the family's 1533-position model. Lineage: Bacteria; Bacillati; Actinomycetota; Actinomycetes; Kitasatosporales; Streptomycetaceae. RNAcentral also lists the same sequence under 1 other name. The record is from RNAcentral.